UCGGGAAUAUUGCGCAAUGGAGGAAACUCUGACGCAGUGACGCCGCGUAUAGGAAGAAGGUUUUCGGAUUGUAAACUAUUGUCGUUAGGGAAGAAAAAAGACAGUACCUAAGGAGGAAGCUCCGGCUAACUACGUGCCAGCAGCCGCGGUAAUACGUAGGGAGCAAGCGUUAUCCGGAUUUAUUGGGUGUAAAGGGUGCGUAGACGGGCGAUCAAGCUAGUUGUGAAAUCCCUCGGCUCAACUGAGGAACUGCAACUAAAACUGGUUGUCUUGAGUGCAGGAGAGGUAAGUGGAAUUCCUAGUGUAGCGGUGAAAUGCGUAGAUAUUAGGAGGAACACCAGUGGCGAAGGCGACUUACUGGACUGUAACUGACGUUGAGGCACGAAAGUGUGGGGAGCAAACAGGAUUAGAUACC
Molecule: ribosomal RNA, 415 nt
Filed under: uncultured bacterium
Lineage: Bacteria
Description: bacterial SSU rRNA
Rfam family: Bacterial small subunit ribosomal RNA
Source: RNAcentral